RNAcentral lists this ribosomal RNA (551 nucleotides) under Staphylococcus aureus. RNAcentral describes it as "partial 23S ribosomal RNA". It matches the Rfam family "Bacterial large subunit ribosomal RNA", at positions 2341 to 2893 of the family's 2925-position model. Lineage: Bacteria; Bacillati; Bacillota; Bacilli; Caryophanales; Staphylococcaceae. The record is from RNAcentral.
UUCAUAGAGUGUAAAGGCAUAAGGGAGCUUGACUGCGAGACCUACAAGUCGAGCAGGGUCGAAAGACGGACUUAGUGAUCCGGUGGUUCCGCAUGGAAGGGCCAUCGCUCAACGGAUAAAAGCUACCCCGGGGAUAACAGGCUUAUCUCCCCCAAGAGUUCACAUCGACGGGGAGGUUUGGCACCUCGAUGUCGGCUCAUCGCAUCCUGGGGCUGUAGUCGGUCCCAAGGGUUGGGCUGUUCGCCCAUUAAAGCGGUACGCGAGCUGGGUUCAGAACGUCGUGAGACAGUUCGGUCCCUAUCCGUCGUGGGCGUAGGAAAUUUGAGAGGAGCUGUCCUUAGUACGAGAGGACCGGGAUGGACAUACCUCUGGUGUACCAGUUGUCGUGCCAACGGCAUAGCUGGGUAGCUAUGUGUGGACGGGAUAAGUGCUGAAAGCAUCUAAGCAUGAAGCCCCCCUCAAGAUGAGAUUUCCCAACUUCGGUUAUAAGAUCCCUCAAAGAUGAUGAGGUUAAUAGGUUCGAGGUGGAAGCAUGGUGACAUGUGGAGCUG